This 249-nucleotide long non-coding RNA is filed under the name Theropithecus gelada (gelada). RNAcentral's name for it is "lncRNA (ENSTGEG00000023164.1)". Lineage: Eukaryota; Metazoa; Chordata; Mammalia; Primates; Cercopithecidae. The record is from RNAcentral.
GUUUGACCUCUUAUUUUAAUACAACACCCGCCUCUUACAGGCAACAGACCAGUCCAGCCAGGUCAAGGUGUGGACUGCACAGCGAGGUGCACAGAAUCAGUUAAGCAAACCAGGAACCCAGCUAGAAAAUUAAACGCGCCCUGGAUCUACAAAGCAGGUCCCUUCGAGAGACCAAAGCCGUGAUCCCAACCUUAGCAACAUAAUUCUACUACAGGUGUUGAUAUAUUAUAUAUACUAAUCCAGAAAAAC